AAAUGCUUUCUGCUUAACACGUCAAGUCUGGGAGCGUGUGCUGAUGCUGCGCUUUACCGCAUCCACAGCACCACAGAACCACCUUGGGUCCUGGAUGGCAAUCACUCAGGCAGACAACUGGUCCAUUCCCAACAUCUGUAAAAUAACCAUUUAUUUGCCGCAGCCAGAUGAAACGCGGGCGUCCCCAUGGUCUUCUCCAACUACCGGGUUCCUCAACAUUCAGGUACCUGCGUGCUGGAU
Thalassophryne amazonica is the source of this 240-nucleotide long non-coding RNA. RefSeq lists it as uncharacterized. The transcript is spliced from 3 exons. The record is from RefSeq and is a predicted model, not a curated record. Lineage: Eukaryota; Metazoa; Chordata; Actinopteri; Batrachoidiformes; Batrachoididae.